GUGCUUGCUUUGGCAGCACAUAUACUAAAACUGGAAUAAUACAGAGAACAUUAGCAUGACCUCUGCACACGAAUGACAUGCAAAUUCAUGAAGCGUUACAUAUUUUU
Small nuclear RNA from Rhinolophus ferrumequinum (greater horseshoe bat), 107 nucleotides. The record is from Ensembl. NCBI's taxonomy places the organism in Eukaryota, Metazoa, Chordata, Mammalia, Chiroptera, Rhinolophidae.